UAUUUGAAAUAAUUUAAUGGCGUUUAUAAAGAUAGACUCCGCUGCUUGACAAAACUUUGAGGAUUCGUAGUUUAAACGCCGCAAAUUUCUAGCCCUAAACAUUCAAAAGAAGCUAUUUAUUUUCUAUCUGCACCCAGAAUUCUUUUUGCCAAACUCUUAUCUCUUUUCAAUUUCCGUCUCUUUCUCUCUCAAAAUCGAAAUCUCAACUCUUUCAAUCUUGGAUUUGCAGUCGGUUUCUCUCCUUCCAUUUUCGAUUUAUCCUACUUUUCCCAUUUUUUUCUCCAAUUCCUAUUUCCCCCUUUUCAUUCCUCAUGGAUCACUGUCCAAAUCAACCCUUGACACAGAUGCAGCAUUAGCCACCAUGCAGCACCAUCCCAAGUGGCGCAACAACAACUAGCAGCAGCACCGUUGACGCCUUCCUAAACAAACUGAAAGGGGUCUAAUGGUAUUCUCCAUUCAUGUUCGAUGAAAAGUUGAAUAACUUGCAUGAAACUAUUGCAGCACUUGAAGCAAAGCCUAUAUCUGAUGAACCUGAGUAAGAACAUUUGCUUGAAAAUUUCCAUUCCAGUCGCACCAUAAGGAAACUAGUGUUAGACUUCCAUUCAUUUGCUUCCACAUUGUGGAAGAAAUCUUUGGAAAGAAAGUGCCAGUUGGGAGCCCAGGUCAAUUGUUUUGUCCUUGUAAAUCUUGCACGUUUAAAGCAUAAUAUCCCUUGAUCUCUGAUGUUAUAUGAUAUCGGGUCCCAUGCCUUAAUUUGUUACCAUCUUUUCUGUUAGAUAUGAUCUAAAUAACUUAUGUCCUUUUAUGUUUUCUUUUUUCAUAUUGCAGUCUAAAUAAGCUUUAAUGGUUUCAUCAAGUUAUUGCCCUAACUUGAUUAGAGCUUUGGUAAUGUUUGGUAGGCAUAAUUGCAUUUUGUAUCUUAUUAGUUGUAACUUAGUUUUAAAGUGUCUUUCUCUGUCUACGAAUUUCAUGCUUGUUGUCAUAUUGUCUCUGAUUCUUUAUGGUUCUUAACUUCUUAUUUUAAAAUUCUAAAGAUUCAAUGAGUUCUUCAUUUGACUCUUUUGAUUAAUUGAUUAAUGAUUACUAUAAAUCUUUUGUUUAUGUUUAAGGCGAGAGAAAUUGUAUAGUUCCUGAAAACCUUGGCAAGUUUAUUAGCUUUAAUAUAGGAUCCAUUACCUCAAAGUAACUUGGGGGAACUUGAAUUUGGAAAAGCUAUACCCAUUUACUUUUUUUUUUCUAAACCAAUAAAAAUAGUGUCAAAAGAAGAAUGUUCUUAGCUUUAUAGCUAGCUAUACUCUCUAUUAAGAUUCAUUAUUUUGCAUUUAAAACUAUUAAUUAUGGUCAUCUAAACAAAUGAGAGUUUGAUAAGCUUAGUUUGACAAAUGAAUUAAAAUGCUAAUAAUUUUUUAUGCUUUUUUUCUUUUUUUUGUUGAGCUAUUGAAUGAAAACUGCAUGAAGAGGAAAAACGAUCUUGAUCAGCAGAAUUGUCAUGACCUGAGGAGUAGAGGGUUGUGUUUGGUUCCAAUGUCAUGCACAUCACAAGUUUUGGAGUGACAAAGGAGUUGAUUACUAGGCUCCCUCUAUGGGCAGUGGAUUCUGAUAGAAGGGUUAUUGGAACUGCUCAAAAGAGUAGCUAUAACAUACUUAAAAAAAAAAUGAGUAGCAUAGAUUGUAUAAUGGUCUCAAGAUUGGAUGGUUCUUGAUGUAUUUUCUUGGCACUACCCUGAGUUUUGUAUCGGUCAAUUCUUACAAUGCUUGUGCUUUUAGAUAAUUUCUAUGGUUUGCACAUAUAUUACUUGUGAAUUUAUUCUGACAAUUGGUGUAUUUAGAUAUUU
Molecule: long non-coding RNA, 1835 nt
Organism: Durio zibethinus
Lineage: Eukaryota; Viridiplantae; Streptophyta; Magnoliopsida; Malvales; Malvaceae
Source: RefSeq, a predicted model, not a curated record